AAGUUUACAACAAUAAUGCUUGUUAUUCUAACAUGUAAAACUAUGGGAGUUAAAAUUCAUUUAAUUUGAUCAUGGUCAAGUGAGGCUGUUAUAUAUGUGCUACUGAUUUAACAGGACGUGCAGUUUUAGAAGAGUUUAAAGUUGUGAUAAGAAGUAAAUUGUUUAAAACUUAUUGUGAAGGUAUUCUUCCAUUCCAAACACCAGGAA
This 207-nucleotide long non-coding RNA is filed under the name Mytilus galloprovincialis (Mediterranean mussel). Lineage: Eukaryota; Metazoa; Mollusca; Bivalvia; Mytilida; Mytilidae. The record is from RNAcentral.